UACAGAGGGUGCGAGCGUUAAUCGGAAUUACUGGGCGUAAAGCGCGCGUAGGCGGCUUUGCAAGUCGAGUGUGAAAUCCCCAGGCUUAACCUGGGAACUGCAUCGAGACUGCAUAGCUAGAGUAUGGGAGAGGGAAGUGGAAUUUCAGGUGUAGCGGUGAAAUGCGUAGAUAUCUGAAGGAACAUCAGUGGCGAAAGCGACUUCCUGGACCAAUACUGACGCUCAUGUGCGAAAGCGUGGGGAGCAAACAGG
Molecule: ribosomal RNA, 252 nt
Filed under: uncultured bacterium
Lineage: Bacteria
Description: partial 16S ribosomal RNA
Rfam family: Bacterial small subunit ribosomal RNA
Source: RNAcentral